This 305-nucleotide ribosomal RNA is filed under the name uncultured bacterium. Its description in RNAcentral is "partial 16S ribosomal RNA". It matches the Rfam family "Bacterial small subunit ribosomal RNA", at positions 335 to 641 of the family's 1533-position model. The record is from RNAcentral.
UCUCCUACGGGGGGCAGCAGUGGGGAAUAUUGCACAAUGGGGGAAACCCUGAUGCAGCGACGCCGCGUGAGUGAAGAAGUAUUUCGGUACGUAAAGCUCUAUCAGCAGGGAAGAAAAAAAGUCCUUUGGACUUUGGACGGUACCUGACCAAGAAGCCCCGGCUAACUACGUGCCAGCAGCCGCGGUAAUACGGAGGAUGCGAGCGUUAUCCGGAUUUAUUGGGUUUAAAGGGUGCGUAGGCGGAAUAUCAAGUCAGCGGUAAAAAUUCGGGGCUCAACCCCGUCGUGCCGUUGAAACUGAUGUUC